CUCAGGGCAGAAGAGGAGACCGAGGUUUCUGUGCAAUUAUUUAUUUGGAAAUGGAGCCCAUUCCCUUCCUGGAGCAGGAGCUCAGGAAGUGGAGGGAAGGACGUGAAACAGGAAAAGAGGAAAAGCCCAUUUGAGGAUUUAUGACUGGAUUUGCUGCCAAAGUUGCAACUACAGUUUUUUAGGAUAACUGUAAGGCUGCACUGGGGAGAUGAAAGAGGAAGCUAUUUCUCCAUCUCCUUCCGUCCUCUAUGGGUGAAGGAUGGCUCCUUCUCUCUUCUGAUCCUGAGUGCUGGAAAGCUCAAGAAAUUCUUCUGAGAAUUGAGUGAGUUCAGCCAGCCUGGAUUCCCUGGAAUUCUGGUGAAGCCUGACUGGGUUUCACACUUGACCCAUAAACCACUUGGCAAGGAAACUUCCUGCACACAGCCCUGCCCAGGCAAUGAUACCCUUGAGUGAGCAUCUGAUAAGCCAAAACAAUUAAGAAUGAAAGAAUGCAAUGACUUGCACAGUGAAGAAUGCGAGAUCCAAACUCCCAGGUGAUGCUGAUGCUAUGAGCCUAUGGACCACACUGAAGGGCUGUGCCCCAGCCCACCACAUGUAAGUCACAAUCUCCAGGAGCAGAACCUGGCACUGGAUUCUUUUUUAAACUCCCAGGGGAUGCUACCAUGCAAUCAGAAUUCAAAAACAUGAAUGUACACUCAUAGAUGGGUUUUCCAGAAGAGAAUAAAACCUAAAAUCCCUUAGAGUUGUCCAAGUUCAUGUUACAAGACAGCAGCAUCGUGAAGACUACAGGCUACUUCCCUGACCUCUAGGUCUUGGUAGCUGACACUUUAUUACUCUAAUGCGGGGGACCCCAAACCCCCAGGCCAUGGAACAGUAGUGGUCUCUCCAUCAUAGUUCCUCCUUUUACUAACAUCAUGGCUGCAGGAUGCCCUCUUACGAUUUAAAAAGUGACAUCAAACCAAAGGAGGUGGCCGGGCACGGUGGCUCAUGCCUGUAAUCCCAGCACUUUGAGUGGCCGAGUGGACCAGUCCUGGUCCAUGGCCUGUUAGGAACUGGGCUGCACAGCAGGAAGUGAGCAGCAGGUGAGCGAACUUUCGUCUGUAUUUACAG
RNAcentral lists this long non-coding RNA (1110 nucleotides) under Homo sapiens (human). Its description in RNAcentral is "HSALNT0279742". The record is from RNAcentral. Lineage: Eukaryota; Metazoa; Chordata; Mammalia; Primates; Hominidae.